Molecule: small RNA, 886 nt
Filed under: Pongo abelii (Sumatran orangutan)
Lineage: Eukaryota; Metazoa; Chordata; Mammalia; Primates; Hominidae
Description: retained intron
Source: RNAcentral
GAGGACACGCAGAGGAGCAGCUGGCUUGCCCGGAGUCCUCCGACCUUGACCCAAGAAUGCAGGGCCCACCCCGCAGCCUCCCCGCUGGGCUCAGCCUGGACGACUUCAUCCCUGGCCACCUCCAGUCCCACAUAGGGUCUUCCUCCCCGGGGACACGGGUGCCCGUGAUCCGGAAUGGUGGCUCCAACACCCUUAAUUUCCAGUUCCACGACCCCGCGCCCAGGACUGUGUGCAAUGGGGGCUACACAAGACGAGAUGCUUCGCAGCACCCGGACCCUGCGUGGUAUCAGACCUGGCCAGGCCCUGGGAGCAAGCCCUCUGCAAGCACAAAGAUCCCUGCCUCCCAGCACACCCAGAACUGGUCAGCCACGUGGACCAAGGACAGCAAGCGUCGGGACAAGCGCUGGGUCAAGUACGAGGGAAUCGGGCCCGUGGAUGAGAGCGGCAUGCCCAUUGCCCCCCGAUCCAGUGUUGACAGACCCAGAGACUGGUACCGGAGAAUGUUCCAGCAGAUUCACCGGAAAAUGCCAGACCUGCAGCUGGACUGGACCUUCGAGGAGCCACCCAGAGGUGAGGGGAUGCGGGCCCACCUGCCUGCCAUAGCCCUGCGCCUGCGUCCGUCCCUCCCUGGGGCUGGGACUUGCAGCCCCGCCUGGCUUUGGGGCUCUCCAGUUGGCUCAGUUCAACCUAAGAGGUUUUUAUAGCUCAUUUCCAGAGCACUUCAAAUCCCCCGGUAGGUGGUAAUUAACAGCCUCAGCUUGCACUGGGAAUGCGCGCUCUGCCACUCCCUGGCCGGGAUUUCUCUGGGCCUCCCUUUCCUCAUCUAUAAGAUGAGAUCACCACCUACUCGGAGUUGUUUUGAAGAUUUAGUAAACGUCGUAAAGCU